Hypanus sabinus (Atlantic stingray) is the source of this 11501-nucleotide long non-coding RNA. RefSeq lists it as uncharacterized. The record is from RefSeq and is a predicted model, not a curated record. NCBI's taxonomy places the organism in Eukaryota, Metazoa, Chordata, Chondrichthyes, Myliobatiformes, Dasyatidae. The transcript is spliced from 4 exons.
AUCAAAUGAAGGUUGUCAAAGCAAAGGAGACCAUUAUUUUACUUGUUUCCACAUCACUUUAUAUUUUUUAAAAAAGGGACAGAUUCUUGCAAAAAUGCUUUAUUGUGUAUAUAUGACUGAUAGACAAUUAUCUUUUACAAAAUGUUUGGUACAUUCGUGAAUGAGGGAAGUCACAAAGCAUAUACAAAAUUAUUUACACUUCAGAAAACUCUUUUGUUUAUCUCAUGGAAGUGAGAUAAAUGCUGAAUGGUUCAAUAUCCACAGAAAGAGGCAGCAAUAUUUAAUGUAAAAUACUGUCAUGUAGUAUCACAGUUUUGUACCAGAGAAAUGAUAAGUAAAGCUUACAGAGUAUAUAUAAACCUGAUGUUAAAAAAGCAUGCGCUGUUUGUUAGUUUGAGGGGAUGAAAGGAUGACCAGAACAUAAGACUCUUUUUCACUUAAUGUAUUAAGACCAUUAGGUUAUGUUGAAGGUCAUUGGGGUCUUAAGUCCACACAUUUACAUUUAAUGGAUCAAAACACUUUCACUGAAUUAGUAUAACAUACACUUUGUACACUUGUUUUCCAAAACAAAAGCCAGUCUAUUGUACUACAGUCUAGCUGUGCAGAGGUUUGCUUAGUACGUUUCACCUCUAAUACACAAUGCAUCUUUUAACAGAUGACAAGUUGUGUUAGGUAGGAUUUGUGCUGCAGCUGGAAAAACUUCGAACUAAUAAAACAGGGCAGUUCAACUGUCACUUCACCUGUCGUUUACCUCUGCACUUUUCUGAAUAUUGAAGUUUAUUUGAAUAGAGGAGUGACAAUAAAUUACAGAAGGUAGAAUUAUCAGCUAUAUAAAUUGAAUGAGCCUUUUGCCCUAAGGCACUUCUAGAUUGUCCAGGGCAUAAAAGGCCAAGUCAUAAUGCAUUCAAUAAAUCGGCAAAUCAGAGAUUUUGUAUCAACCGAGGUUAGAGCAAAUGCUUGAAAAUAAUGACUUCAUCUUCGUUAUUUUAAAAAGCCAAGCGGUUUUGAACCACUGCCAGUAUCAAUUAGAUUCUGUAUCAACACUGAUGAGCUUUAAAAUAGUUGCAUGUCAUGGACUGAACUGAAACAAUCCAGUUAGAGCCUGAGGAGCAUAGAUCACCAAAUAAAAUCACCACUGAUUGAACAUACUAAAAAUUCAAAACCUAAAGCUUUUGAUGAGAUUUAAGACCAGAGUAAACUCAUUUGUACUGCACUUUUGUCCAGUAUUAAAAGCCAAGGACAAAAUAGUAUAAAUUUUUGAUACAACUUACUGUAUUAACAUUAUGUACAGUGCCUUAAAGUGUUCAGCUCCCACAUUUUCACGUUUUAAUGUCUCACUUUCUGAAUUUUUUUGUUCUUAGCUACGAAACGUGCAUAACAUCAAAAAUUCCAAAACCUGUCAGCUAAAAUUGAGAGACUGAAAAAGUAUUCACCCCUUUUGUAAAUACUGUGCUAACUUUCCUCAGGUGCAAUAUUCUUAUUACCUCAUCAACUCACCCAAUUUAUUGAUGUAGAAAAUUGGAGGAUCACCUGUUUUUAAUGAAUUCAUAAGAAUAAAUUCUCUCUCUCUGUGUGUCUCUCUCUCAUAUCCAGUUGUUCAGCAGCUUUUCAACAGCCCAAACCAAAAUGAAGACAAAAGGGCAUUCAAGCCAAGUCAGGGAAUGGAUGAUGUAGAAGCAGAAAUCGUGGGAAGGGUACAAGACCACAUCAAAGGCACUGAACAUGCAUCUGAGUUCAGUGCAGUCCAUCAUGGGAAAAAUAUGAAAUCACAGCCACACUCAAUAGGUCAAGCCUCCUCUAAAUUUUAGUUGCCAGAGAAGAAUGGCACUUGUCAGAGAGUCUAAUGUGAUACCAACAUUCACUCUGGCUGAGAGCAGAAGUCAGCGGUUGCAACUGGAGAUGACGUUCAUGGCUCUACAAUCUCUAAGGCUGGCACAAAAAGAUUAUUUAUGGAAGAGGGGCAAAGAAGCAGCCCUGGCUUUAAAAAAAAGCUUUUACUUUCCUGAAAAGAUUUUGCAAAGGGUCACUUUUAAGAUCCUGUAAAGAUGUGGAAGAAGGUUUUGUGGUCGGAUGAGACUAAAAUGGAACUUUUUAGUCUCAGCAUUAAGUUGUACGUGAACACUACGUGAAGUGCAAACCUAAUACUGAACGUCAGCCAGGUAACGCCAUUUCUAAUGUAAAGUAUGGUGGAGGUAGGAUUGCGCUAUGGAAAUGCUUUUCAGCAGCAGGGACUGGAAAUCUGGUCAGGAUUGAUGAGAAAAUGAAUGCUGCUAAAUACAGAGGUUCUGGGUAAACACCUUUUGGCCCUUGCCAGAGCAACUAUAGAGAGGCGUCAAAUGAAGAAAACUGAUGUCCUUGGGUGGCCCCGUUAGAGUCCUGACCUUAACCCGGUUAAACAUCUCUGGUAACACCUGAAGUCUGCUGUUCACUGUCGCUCCUCAAAUAACUUGGCACAGCCUGAGCAAUUUUACAAGGAGAAAUAGGCAAAUCUUGCUCCAUCAUAUUUGUGCAAAACUGACAGAAACUCGUCCAAAAUACCACUGGAUGUAAUAAAGGUGGUUCAGCUAAGCACUCAGCAAAGGGGAAUGAAUAAUUUUGAACUGACAUUUCAGUUUCUAAAGUUUUAAUUUCUCAUGUUUUACAAUUUUCCUGGUUUUUGGGGCUCCACUGAAAAAAGAGCAUGUGUUAAAAAUUCUCAAUUAAAUAGAUCAAAAUCCCUGCUUGUAAUACUCAUUUAUUUGAACAACGGAUUGGGGGCUGAAUACUUUUACAAGACAUUGUAUCCAAAGUUGUGAUCUCGCUGGCUCUAACUGGAUUGACUUGCAUUCAGAAUUUAAACCGCAGUGAGCCUGAGACAUUAGUGCAUCGCCCUGACUUGCUAAAAGAUGGAUCAAUUCUUUAUUGUUCUAGAAUCUUGUACUGGGUUAUUAACAGGAUCCAAGACUUCACUGACUUUGAAUUGCAUAGCUAUGUUCUGCAAGGCAGAGAGAAGGUAAGUUACUUCUGCUAAUGUUUUUAAUUUAUAUAUAUGCCAGUUAUUUUUAAUUUUGUUAAAAUAUCUCUGAAGUGUCAGCAUUUGCAGUCUGGGUUAGUUUAGAUCAAUGUAAUUUAAGAUUAGCCUGAUGAAUACUGACUGGGUACAUGUAGGGGAGAUGGGAGUGAAGUGCGAAGUUCCUUUAGGAAGAUCUUGCCCAUUAAUGGUGGUGGUCUUUUAUAAGUAAUAUGUAUUUUGCUUUCUAGUCUGGAAGAUUAUUUUUCUAAUAAAACCAGUCCAGACUGAAGUGAUAUUUAAAUAGUGCAGAAAGUUGAUUUUGAACUCUUAUCUCCACCACAAAUUUGUUCCAUUUUUGGGAUGUUCAUUGGUAAGGAUAUACAAAAAAAUGCAAACAAAGGCUAAGUUUCAGCAGGUAGUUCACCAUUACUUUCCCAUGGAAUGGAACCAUCUUGAACUUUUUCCAUGAAUGUGGAAAACUGCUAUUGUGCCUUGCAAUUUUAUUUACUGAGUCAUUGAAAGAUUUAGAGCUAUGUAUAUUACAACCUUGUUCCAAAGGAAACUAAUGAGAUUAAGUCUAUUUUUCAGAUGAAGAUUGUCAUUUUUGGCAGGACAUGUUUUUCUGUUUGGUUGAAAUAACCUUGAAAAUGGUCAGCUUGCUGAAAUUCUAGCCAAUUAUUUGUUGAAUUAAUCAAGUUUUAACAAUCAUUCAGCAUUUCUAAACAAUAAGAUGUAAGAGGUGCUGCAGCAAUUUCUGUUCUGGAAAACAUUUUAUAAUGUGGAUCAUUAUUUGACAGUGUGCGAGCUGCAAAAUUGACUUCAGCAACAUUGAAUUAAGUUGAAAAAAUACUGUGACACUAUAGAUAUUAGCAUAUUUAAAACUUUUUUGGGGCUUUAUCCCAAUCUGUUAAAUUAUAAAUACACAGAUUAAGAUCAGUCAAUACUAUUAGUCAGUGGAAAGAGCUUGCAAAGACACAACAGGUCAGUCAUUUAAACAGGAUGUCAAAAAAGUACUUGAUCUAAGUUUAGAAUUGGGGAAUGGUGAAAUUUGUUUUGUUUUUCUAACGGCUGUACACUCCUUAAGACACUUAGACCAUUUACGUUUUGACAAUUCCCCAAAUACUUUCAGUGCUACAUAACAUAAAAAGAACAAUGCCAGUAGUAGUGAUGAUGCCCAUCAAACAUUGAUUGGAUUCCUGGCAAUUUCCACCCCCCCCCCCCCCCCCCCCAAUUCCUGGAAAGAGAACUAAUGGUACACAGCAUCAAGGAAUGUUGGUCCUACACAGUAACAUGCAAUACCAAAGGGCAGUCUAGAAUUCCAGCUUGGUAACUAUCCUACUAUGGUUUUAGCUUAAACUUGUUUAGUCUGUGAAGAGAAUGUGGAGCCUUAACUUCCUUUUCAUUUCACCUUUUGUGAAGUUAUUGUAAUCUUAAAAACCCAGCUGCUUUUUCUUGCUACUUGACCAAAAUAAUUUUAAUUUUCCAUUCUCCAGUAUAACUGCUGUAUAGUUUCCCAUACUUGCAUAUCUUGCCAGCUAUUUACCAAGGUCUUUUCUUGCACUUGGCUAUUAUAAUGGCUGCUCUUUACAUUGGUUGUUUACGAGUAAAUAUUACCACUUUGUGUAUUCAUUGCUGUUUAAAUCGUUAUUCUUGAAUUACAAUCACUGUUUUGAUAAAAACAAAAGGGCCACAGUUUUGACACAACUAUACUUUAAGGUUAACGGCCAAGUGAAAUAAUGAAGUAGGAUUUGCAGAUUUCUAAUGCUGUUGGAAAGUUGGUUUUCUUUUGUUGUUUAGAAAGUAAAAGCAAAUCACUAAAAUUGUCUUCGUGCUAAACAUUAAGUAAAUAAAUAGUGGAUGGUAUAUCAUGCUGAAGGAAUGCUCUUCCCCUGCCUAGUAACCAAUGAAAACCUUUUUCUCCAGGGGAAAAUAAUGAUUUGGUCACUUGUACCAUUAAAAAGGGCACAUUAAUAGUGCACAGAAUUAUUUUCUCUGAUUAUUCAGUUCCUAUUUUUUGCUACCAUUAUCUUUAACUCCUUGAGGACUAGUACAAUAAUUUGUACCACAAAAGAUCAAAAGUAACUGAGUGUUAAACCGUCAAUACUUAAAUCCAUUCCUUUAAGUGUACCUCUUUACAUUCAACACUAAUUUGCUUAACUGUUAUUCUGUGAGGAAAAUAGGUAUACAAGUUCUUGUGUGGUGUAUUAUAAACAUAAAACCUAUUUCCAUUUUUGCCUCUCAAGUAGUAUUAAAAGCCUGUUCAGGGAAAUUUACCCCAAUAUUUUGUUGGGGGCCAAGUUCAAUUUAAAUAUAAAAUGAAGAGCAACCACCAGCUAUUUAAAUGUUAUUUUUCUUUGCAGUUGCCAAUUUUCACUUUGCUCGUAAAUAGAACCAAUCGAGCUUAAACAGAAUGAACUGGUGUCUCAUUUUUCUACAAAGUUUGAAUGGGGCACGGCUGUGCAAGUGCGUGAAGGUCGGUCUGUGAGACAGCGGGAGAGUCUUAAACGCUCCCACCUGUAAAAGCUCCUGCACUGCAGUGCACAACUAUUGGUGGAUUACAGCUCCUGUUGGAGUCCAGCAUGCUGUUGGUGUGCCGCCGAACUGACUGAAUUUCUUCAAGCAAAUAUAAAUUCAACUCUGAAGAAACAGGUGUUUGCAUACUGAAAAGCCUACUGUUAACACUGAAGUUGGUUUCAAAUAUGAAAAGAAUUGAGGACAGAAGGUUUGACAAUUUGGAGAUGCUAAGAAAGAAUAAAGUAGAAUAAAUAGCAGCUCAAUGACACUUGAUUUCACUGAUGUUAACACAAGGCACGUGGAACAAUAUACUUGAAUGAUUGAAGACAUUUCAUGUGUUAGCAAAGCAAAUAUAUUGGAGAAAACUAAUGAAGAGAACACUUACUGGUUGUUUGUUCUUGGGAGAAAGGAUUGAGAAGAAAUUAUUCUGCCAGUCUCCAUUUGGCUUAAGUGUAUUAAAAAUACUUGUACUAUGUUCAGAAAAUAAAUUUUGCUAACCAUAAUUAAAAAAUAAAAGUGUACUUUAUUACUGUUUGUAUUUCCAUGUGGUCUAAAUAGACUACACAAAUGCCCAAGCAAUAGUAUUGAUCUCCAAUAACUGUUUUGCAGUUUUAGCAUAAAAUGUGCUAGAACAUAACUUGUAGCCACUGUUUCUGCAGUUCCAGAAUGUAAUUCCUUUGCGUAAGGAAUUGCUAUGUUUAAGAAAAGGUGAUAAUGGCAUUUUUAUUUUUUAAUUAAAGUCAUUGUGGCUACAUAUUCACUCAAUGGCCACUUUAUUAGAUACACCUGUAUAAUGUAAAUAUCUGAUUAGCCCAUCAUGUAACAGCAACACAAUGCAUAAAAGCAUGCAAAUACAGUCAACAGGUUUGAUGCUAUUAAGACCAAACAACAGAAUGGGUAAGAAAUGUGAUCCAAGUGAUGUUGACUGUGGAAUGAUUGUUGGUGCCAGACAGGGUGGUUUGAGUAUUUCAGAAGCUGCUGAUCUCUUGGGAUUUUCAUGUACAACAGUCUCUGGAGUUUACAGAAUGUGUGAGAAACCAGUGAGCAGCAGUUCUGUGGUCAAAAAUGCCUUGUUAAUGCGAGAGGACAGAGAGAAUGGCCAGACUGGUUCAAGCUGGCAGCUACUCAAACGACCACGUGAUAACAAUAGUGGUGUCUCUAGGUGCACCACACAUCACACCUUGAAGUAGAAGGGCUGCAGCAUCAGAAUACCAUGAACAUGUUCUCAAUGGCCACUUUGUUAGGUUAAGAGAUACCUAAUAAAGUGGCUACUGAGUGUAUAUUACACUUCAGCAGUGAUAAGUUCAGACAUCAAAUUAUAUGAAAAUAUUUGACUUCCACCUUCAUCAGAUUCAAAGGCUAGUAAGAUAAAAGCAGUGCAUGUGAUUAAAAAUCAAAGAAGCACUAUCAUCUGAUACAGGCACCAAGAUUUCUAUCUGUAAAGAACUGAAAAUUAUGCAAAAUUCCUCAAGAUGUCUCUGAUCACAUGCAUAGCAUUCUGAAAUGGGAGGGUGAGCAGCCAGAAGUCAUGGUUUACAUCGGUACCAAUGACGUAGGAAGAAAGAAUGAGGAGGUCCUGAAGACUGAGUAUAGGGAGCUUGGUAGGAAGUUAAAAAGCAGGACCCCUAGGGUGGUAAUCUCAGGAUUGCUACCUGAGCCACGUGCCAGUGAGGGUAAGUGUAGGAUGCUCUGGAGGAUGAACAUGUGACUGAGGAACUGGUGUAAGGGGCAGGGUUUCAAAUUUUUGGCUCUUUGGGACAUCUUCUGGGGCAGGUGGGACCUGUACAAGACAGAUGGGUUACACCUCAACUACAGGGGAACCAAUAUCCUUGCAGGGAGGUUUGCUAGUGCUACUGGGGAGGGUUUAAAUUAGAUUUGCAGGGGGAUGGGAACCGGAGUGCCAGAGCAGAUAGUGGAGUGGGGGUGAAAAUAAAUGAUGUUAAAAGUUAAUGCAAAGUCAGAAAUAGGGUUGUGUGUGGUGGUAAUAAUCUUCUGAGGUGUGUCUAUUUCAAUGUGAGGAGUAUUGUUGGGAAGGCAGAUGAGCUGAGUGUGUGGAUUGACACAUGGAGUUAUGUAUGACAUUAUAGCCAUUAGUGAAACUUGGCUACAGGAGGGGCAGGACUGGCAGCUUAAUGUUCCGGGGUUCAGAUGUUUCAGAGGUGAUAGAGGCAGAGGGAUGAAGGGUGUGGUGGGGGGGGGGGGUGGGUGGCAUUGCUAGUUAGGGAAAAUGUUACAGCAGUGCUUAGGCAGGAUAGAUUUACAGGGCUUAUCUACAGAGGCCAUAUGGGUGGAGCCGAGAAACAGGAAAGGUACGACCACAUUAAUGGGGUUGUAUUAUAGACCACACAAUAGUCAGUGAGAACUGGAGGAGCAAAUCUGCAGAGAGAUAGCAGACAACUGCAAGAACAUAAAGUUGUGACAGUAGGGGAUUUUAGUUUUCCACAUUGAUUGGGACUGCCAUACUAUUAAAGGUCUAGUCGGGUUAGAGUUUAUAUAAUGUGUUCAGGAAAAGUUUUCAAAAUCAAUAUAUAGAGGUACCAACUAGAGAGGAUGCAAUAUUAGAUCUCCUACUAGGAAACGAGUUAGGACAAAUGACAGAAGUGUGUGUAUGGGAACACUUUGGGUCUAGUGAUCAUAACGCCAUUAGUUUCAACUUGGUCAUGGAUAAAGAUAGAUCUGGUCCUCGGUUUGAGGUUCUAAACUGGAAAAAGGGCAAAUUUGAAGAAACGAGGUAGAAACUAAAAAGCGUGGAUUGGGACAGGUUGUUCUCUGGCAAGGAUGUGAUUGGUAAGUGGGAGGCCUUCAAAGGAGAAAUUUUGAGACUGCAGAGUUUGAAUUUUCCUGUCAGGAUUAAAGGCAAAGUGAAUAAGAAUAAGGAACCUUGGUUUUCAAGGGAUAUUGGAAAUCUGAUAAAGAAGAAGAGAGAGAUGUAUGACAGGUAUAGGCAACAAGGAACAAAUAAGGUGCUUGAGGAGUAUAAAAAUUGCAAGAAAAUACUUAAAGAAAUCAGGAGGGCUAAAAGAAGACAUGAGGUUGCUUUGGCAGUCAAGGUGAAGGAUAACCUUAAGAGCUUCUAGGGGUAUAUUAAGAGCAAAAGGAUAGCAAGGGAUAAAAUUGGUUCUCUUGAAGAUCAGAGUGGUUGGCUAUGUAUGGAACCAAAAGAAAUGGGGGGGGGGAUCUUAAAUGGUUUUUUUGCAUCCGUAUUUACUAAGGAAACUGGCAAGGAGUCCACUGGAAUAAGGCAAACAAGUAGUGAGGUCAUGGAACCUAUACCGAUUAAAGAUGAGGAGGUGCUUGCUGUCUUGAGGCAAAUCAGAGUAGAUAAAUCCCCAGGACCUGACAGGGUAUUCCCUCGGACCUUGAAGGAGACUAGUGUUGAAAUUGCAGGUGCCCUGGCAGAUUUAUUUAAAAUGUCGGUAUCCACGGGUGAGGUGCCAGAGGAUUAGAGGAUAGCUCAUGUUGUUCCAUUGUUUAAAAAAGGCUCUAAAAGUAAUCUGGUAAAUUACAGGCUGGUAAGUUUGACGUUGAUAGUAGGUAAGUUAUUGGAGGGAUAGGAUCUACAAGUAUUUGGAUAGAUAGGGACUUAUUAGGGAGAGUCAACAUGGUUUUGUGCAUGGUAGGUCAUGUUUAACCAAUCUAUUAGAGUUUUUCAAGGUGGUUACCAGGAAAGUGGAUGAAGGGAAUGCAGUGGAUGUUGUCUACAUGAACCUCAGUAAGGCCUUUGACAAGGUCCCGCAUGGGAGGUUAGUUAGGAAGAUUCAUUCACUAGGUAUACAUGGAGAGGUAGUAAAUUGGAUUAGACAUUGGCUCAACGGGAGGAGCCGGAGAGUGGUAGUGGAGGAUUGCUUCUCUGAGUGGAGGCCUGUGACUAGUGGUGUGCCACAGGGAUUAGUGCUGGGUCCAUUGUUAUUUGUCAUCUAUAUCAAUGAUCUGCAUGGUAAUGGUAAAUUGGAUCAACAAAUUUGCUGAAGAUACAAAGAUUGGAGGUGUAGUGAACAGUGAGGAAGGUUUUCAAAGCUUGCAGAGGGAUUUGGACCAGAGGGCUGAAAAAUGGCAGAUGGAGUUUAAUGCAGACAAGUGUGAGGUAUUGCACUUUGGAAGGACAAACCAAGGUAGAACAUACAAGGUAAAUGGUAGGACACUGAGGAGUGUAGUAGAACAGAGGGAUCUGGGAAUACUGAUACAUAAUUCCCUAAAAGUGGCGUCACAGGUAGAUAAAAUCGUAAAGAGAGCUUUUGGCACAUUGGCCUUUAUAAAUCAAAGUAUUAAGUAUAAGAGUUGGAAUGUUAUGGUGAGGUUGUAUAAGACAUUGGUGAUGCCAAAUGUGGAGUAUUGUGUGCAGUUUUGGUCACCAAAUUACAGGAAGGAUAUUAAUAAGGUUGAAAGAAUGCAGAGAAGGUUUACGUUGCUGUGACUUGAGAAACUGAGUUACAGAGAAAUGUUGAAUGGGUUAGGACUUUAUUCCGUGGAGUGUAGAAGAAUGAGGAGAGAUUUGAUAGAGGUGUAUAAAAUUAUGAUGGGUAUAGAUAGAGUGAAUGCAAGCAGGCUUUUUCCACUGAGGCUAGGGGAGGAAAAAAAAGAGGAUGUGGGUUAAAGGUGAAAAGGGAAAAGUUUAAAGGGAACAUUGGGGGAGCUUCUUUACACAGAGAGUAGUGGGAGUGUGGAAUGAGCUGCCAGUUGAAGUGGUAAAUGCGGGCUCACUUUUAACAUUUAAGAAAAACUUGGACAGGUACAUGGAUGAGAGGAGUAUUAAGGGAAUAUGGUCUAGGUGCAGGUCAGUGGGAUUAGGCAGAAAGAUGGUUUGGCACAGCCAAGAAAGGCCAAAAGAUCUGUUUCUGUGCUGUCAUGUUCUAUGGUUCUAUGAUUAACAGGAUUUGUCAUUAAAGAAUAAUUGAUGCUGAUCCCAAUGGGGUAAGCAGUGAAUGAAAGAGCAUCUCAGGUGAAAUAGGAAAUGGAGAGACAGACAGUUUUAGAGAGGUCUUGCAGAACUAAGGGUUUUGUUAACUAAACCAUAAGCACCAAUGAUUAAGUAUAAAUUUUGAGAAAUGUAAAGGCAGAACAGUGUACGUUCUGUGUAGGGUGGUUUUGAAUAAUAUUUGCAAAGUGUGAUCAGGUAUCUGCUGGAAUAGUCAACAUCGGGGACAUGGGUGAGGGUAUUGGCUGCAGAUGUGCUCAGGCAGAUCAGAGUCAGACAACAGUACAGAGGAGGAGAUGUCAAAUGAUGGCACAGAUAUCUGAUACUGGGUUGAGCUACAGACGUCACAGAGGAUGUAAAUUGUCAGUCUCCAUUAUAAACUAUACCUGUGUGGAAGAAAUUUCUGUUCAUGUGGGACAGACAUAUAGUGGCAGGCUCAAGAUGCUUAGGAGUGAAGUGUUGAGACAUUGUCAAGUGUCUUAAAGUAAACAGGAUAAGCUGACUAUGUUUUUGGAUAAAAUUGCUGAAAGCGGCACAUGGUUGAGAACUAGCAUAGGAAUGCAUAAAGAAUAAUGUAAGUAAUAGUAUAAGCACAAGGGAAGCCACUGCUGGCAACUCUGUGGAUAGAUGAUAAUAAAGGCACCCACCUGAAAAACAAUGGAGUCAUAAAAUAUUUUGGAGAACAAUUAGUACAGUUACAAUCCAGGCUGACUGCUGAACUUGACCUUAAAUUGUUUUUUUAAGUCAGGUGCAUAUUUACCCUGGAGUCUUGAGUGUCACAUACCAAACUUACACAUGUUUCUUUUCAUUUACAUGCGUAAGUUAUUUCAACUGUACAAUAAUUGGUACAGUGAUUUCAGAUUCAUUCAACAAUUAAUAUAGAACAAUUCAGCCCAUAAGGAAGUUGGGGGAAAAAAGUUGUGAAAAUUCUUCUUCUGGAUACCAUUGCUCUCAGGCACACACUAUGUUUGCUUGAUGGUGUGUUUCUUCAUACUGAAUUAUCAAUCAAUAGUAAAUGAUAAAGUGAACAUUUCAUUCCAUUGGACUGCAUGCAUAAGGUACUACAAUAGGUAUCUUAGU